AGAGAGAGACAUGCGCGCAUAUCAAUAAGCGGAGGAAAAGAAACUAACAAGGAUUCCCUUAGUAACGGCGAGUGAAGCGGGAAGAGCUCAAAUUUGAAAUCUUCAAGGUUUUACCUUGACGAAUUGUAGUUUAAAGAAGUGUUUUCUGCUGAAGUUUUGGUAAAAGUUCUUUGGAAUAGGACAUCAUAGAGGGUGAGAAUCCCGUAUUUGACCAUUAUUUUCAGCUUUGUGAUACACUUUCAAAGAGUCGGAUUGUUUGGGAAUGCAGUCCAAAAUGGGUGGUGAAUUUCAUCUAAAGCUAAAUAUUGGCGAGAGACCGAUAGCGAACAAGUACCGUGAGGGAAAGAUGAAAAGAACUUUGAAAAGAGAGUUAAACAGUACGUGAAAUUGUCAAAAGGGGAAGCGUUUGACACCAGUGUUGUUUUCUCGAAAAUCAAUUAAAAAUGGCUCGAUUUUGUAUUGCUUGAGACCUUAAAAGCUCACUGUACAUUUUUCGUGUCUUUUUUAAUGCACUUUUCGUUUAACAAGUCAACAUCAGUUUCUUUUGUUGUAAAAGGGUCAUUGGAAGGUGGCUUUCUUUUCGGAGAAAGUGUUUAUAGCCUUUGGCCUCUGCAAUCGAAGAGACUGAGGUCUGCAGCGUAGACUCUUCGGGGCUAGAUACAUUUGUGCUAAGUUAUAGCUUUUUAUAGACAACUUGUUGACUAUAAUUAGUCUUGUAGCUUACUCGCUUAUGCUAUUUUACCUACGCUUAGGAUGUUGAAGAUGUAGCACAUCAU
Molecule: ribosomal RNA, 776 nt
Filed under: uncultured Neocallimastigales
Lineage: Eukaryota; Fungi; Neocallimastigomycota; Neocallimastigomycetes; Neocallimastigales
Description: partial large subunit ribosomal RNA
Rfam family: Eukaryotic large subunit ribosomal RNA
Source: RNAcentral